UCCCCAGUGGUGCAACUGGUUAGAGCGCGGUACUUAUAAUGCCGAGGUUGUGAGUUCGAUCCUCACCUGGGGAA
Molecule: transfer RNA, 74 nt
Filed under: Caerostris extrusa
Lineage: Eukaryota; Metazoa; Arthropoda; Arachnida; Araneae; Araneidae
Description: tRNA-Ile
Rfam family: tRNA
About the family: Transfer RNA (tRNA) molecules are approximately 80 nucleotides in length.
Source: RNAcentral